AUUAAGUAUAAUAGCUACAGAUGUUUCAUGUAUGCCAUUUAUCAAGUUUAGUAGAUUCUCCUCUACGUGGAGUUUUGCAUUUUUUUAAUCAAGAACGAAUGUUCGGUUUUGUUUAGUGAUUUUCUGUGUGUAUUGAGAUAAUCAUAUGGCUUUUCCAUUUCAGUUUACAAUGUUGGUGAGUGUUGGUGAGUUACAUUGACUUUUGAAUUUUUUUUUGUUUGUUUUCGAGAUGUAGUCGCACUCUGUCACACAGGCUGGAGCGCAGUGGCACAAUCCCAGCUCACUGCAACCUCUGCCUCCUGGGUUCGUGCAUUUCUCCUGCCUCAGUCUCCCAGUAACAGGCUGAGGCAGAAGAAUCACUUGAACCCUGCAGGUGGAGGUUGCGGUGAGCUGAGAUCACGCUACCGCACUCCAGCCUGGGCUACAGAGCAAGACUCCAUCUCCAAAAAAAUGAAAAUUAAAAGUAAGUAAAUGUGAAUUUCAGAUAAAUAGCGAUGACUUUUUUGGUUGAAGUAUACCCUAAAUGUUGUCUGGAUAAAAGACACUGAGGUGAGUACUGUGGCCAGGAAGGUAAGAGGGAUGGGGGGCCAACCGACUAGAGACAAGGGAAGGUAUUACUAAGGACACGGCAGUGGAGCUGAGUCCUGAAGUGAUGCACAAGAAGUUAUUUGUCAGGGAAGAAAAUGGUAAGGAGGCCGGGCGCGGUGGCUCAAGCCUGUAAUCCCAGCACUUUGGGAGGCCGAGACGGGCAGAUCACGAGGUCAGGAGAUCAAGACCAUCCUGGCUAACAUGGUGAAACCCCGUCUCUACUAAAAAAAUACAAAAAAAUCUAGCCGGGCGAGGUGGCGGGCGCCUGUAGUCCCAGCUACUCUGGAAGCUGAGGCAGGAGAAUGGUGUAAACCCGGGAGGCGGAGCUUGCAGUGAGCUGAGAUCCGGCCACUGCACUCCAGCCCGGGUGACAGAGCGAGACUCCGUCUCAAAAAAAAAAAAAAAAAAAAAAAAAAAUGGUAAGGGGUUUUCAGGGGUAGGGUAGGAACAGUAGGAGCCAAAGUGUGGGUAUGUGAAUGUGUAGCUAUGUGUGCAUGUAAAAUGGAAAGGAGAUGGAGGGAUGGGUUGGAGCCUGGAUUUGAAUAAGCACAUAUCGGCGCUGGGGUAUUUAGUCUGGGACAGGGAGGCGUUAUUUUAUGGGAGACUGGCCGGGUGGGAUGUGUGC
This 1213-nucleotide long non-coding RNA is filed under the name Piliocolobus tephrosceles (Ugandan red Colobus). Its description in RNAcentral is "lncRNA (ENSPTEG00000006136.1)". Lineage: Eukaryota; Metazoa; Chordata; Mammalia; Primates; Cercopithecidae. The record is from RNAcentral.